CCUACGGGAGGCAUCAGUGUUUCAUCUUUCACAAUUUUCUCCCUCCUUAUGCAGCAACGCCGCGUGAAGGAAGAAGGCCUUCGGGUCGUAAACUUCUGUCCUUGGGGAAGAAGAACUGACGGUACCCAAGGAGGAAGCCCCGGCUAACUACGUGCCAGCAGCCGCGGUAAUACGUAGGGGGCAAGCGUUAUCCGGAAUUAUUGGGCGUAAAGAGUACGUAGGUGGCAACCUAAGCGCAGGGUUUAAGGCAAUGGCUCAACCAUUGUUCGCCCUGCGAACUGGGAUGCUUGAGUGCAGGAGAGGAA
This 305-nucleotide ribosomal RNA is filed under the name uncultured bacterium. Its description in RNAcentral is "bacterial SSU rRNA". It matches the Rfam family "Bacterial small subunit ribosomal RNA", at positions 338 to 659 of the family's 1533-position model. The record is from RNAcentral.